AAAUUGAAGAGUUUGAUCAUGGCUCAGAUUGAACGCUGGCGGCAGGCCUAACACAUGCAAGUCGAACGGUAACAGGAAGCAGCUUGCUGCUUCGCUGACGAGUGGCGGACGGGUGAGUAAUGUCUGGGAAACUGCCUGAUGGAGGGGGAUAACUACUGGAAACGGUGGCUAAUACCGCAUAACGUCGCAAGACCAAAGAGGGGGACCUUCGGGCCUCUUGCCAUCAGAUGUGCCCAGAUGGGAUUAGCUAGUUGGUGAGGUAACGGCUCACCAAGGCGACGAUCCCUAGCUGGUCUGAGAGGAUGACCAGCCACACUGGAACUGAGACACGGUCCAGACUCCUACGGGAGGCAGCAGUGGGGAAUAUUGCACAAUGGGCGCAAGCCUGAUGCAGCCAUGCCGCGUGUAUGAAGAAGGCCUUCGGGUUGUAAAGUACUUUCAGCGGGGAGGAAGGUGUUGUGGUUAAUAACCGCAGCAAUUGACGUUACCCGCAGAAGAAGCACCGGCUAACUCCGUGCCAGCAGCCGCGGUAAUACGGAGGGUGCAAGCGUUAAUCGGAAUUACUGGGCGUAAAGCGCACGCAGGCGGUCUGUCAAGUCGGAUGUGAAAUCCCCGGGCUCAACCUGGGAACUGCAUUCGAAACUGGCAGGCUUGAGUCUUGUAGAGGGGGGUAGAAUUCCAGGUGUAGCGGUGAAAUGCGUAGAGAUCUGGAGGAAUACCGGUGGCGAAGGCGGCCCCCUGGACAAAGACUGACGCUCAGGUGCGAAAGCGUGGGGAGCAAACAGGAUUAGAUACCCUGGUAGUCCACGCCGUAAACGAUGUCUACUUGGAGGUUGUGCCCUUGAGGCGUGGCUUCCGGAGCUAACGCGUUAAGUAGACCGCCUGGGGAGUACGGCCGCAAGGUUAAAACUCAAAUGAAUUGACGGGGGCCCGCACAAGCGGUGGAGCAUGUGGUUUAAUUCGAUGCAACGCGAAGAACCUUACCUGGUCUUGACAUCCACAGAACUUUCCAGAGAUGGAUUGGUGCCUUCGGGAACUGUGAGACAGGUGCUGCAUGGCUGUCGUCAGCUCGUGUUGUGAAAUGUUGGGUUAAGUCCCGCAACGAGCGCAACCCUUAUCCUUUGUUGCCAGCGAUUAGGUCGGGAACUCAAAGGAGACUGCCAGUGAUAAACUGGAGGAAGGUGGGGAUGACGUCAAGUCAUCAUGGCCCUUACGACCAGGGCUACACACGUGCUACAAUGGCGCAUACAAAGAGAAGCGACCUCGCGAGAGCAAGCGGACCUCAUAAAGUGCGUCGUAGUCCGGAUUGGAGUCUGCAACUCGACUCCAUGAAGUCGGAAUCGCUAGUAAUCGUGGAUCAGAAUGCCACGGUGAAUACGUUCCCGGGCCUUGUACACACCGCCCGUCACACCAUGGGAGUGGGUUGCAAAAGAAGUAGGUAGCUUAACCUUCGGGAGGGCGCUUACCACUUUGUGAUUCAUGACUGGGGUGAAGUCGUAACAAGGUAACCGUAGGGGAACCUGCGGUUGGAUCACCUCCUUACCUUAAAGAAGC
Molecule: ribosomal RNA, 1554 nt
Filed under: Salmonella enterica subsp. enterica serovar Muenchen
Lineage: Bacteria; Pseudomonadati; Pseudomonadota; Gammaproteobacteria; Enterobacterales; Enterobacteriaceae
Also listed under: 18 other names
Description: bacterial SSU rRNA
Rfam family: Bacterial small subunit ribosomal RNA
Source: RNAcentral